GCACUGGACUGACGCUCAUGCACGAAAGCGUGGGUAUCGAACAGGAUUAGAUACCCUGGUAGUCCACGCGGUAAACGAUGAUAACUAGUUAUCCGGCCUAAUUGGGGGCUGGGUGACCGAGCGAAAGCGUUAAGUUAUCCACCUGGGGAGUACGCCGGCAACGGUGAAACUCAAAGGAAUUGACGGGGGCCCGCACAAGCGGAGGAACAUGUGGUUUAAUUCGAUGAUACGCGAGGAACCUUACCCGGGCUCAAACGCGAGGCGCUACACCCUGAAAGGGGUGGUUCUUCGGACGUCUUGCGAGGUGCUGCAUGGUUGUCGUCAGCUCGUGCCGUGAGGUGUCGGCUUAAGUGCCAUAACGAGCGCAACCCCCAUCUUCAGUUGCCAUCGGGUCAAGCCGGGCACUCUGGAGAGACUGCCGGCGCAAGCUGUGAGGAAGGCGGGGAUGACGUCAAAUCAGCACGGCCCUUACGUCCGGGGCGACACACGUGUUACAAUGGCGGGGCUACAGAGGGGAGCCAGGCGGCGACGCCGAGCUGAUCCCGAAAACCCGUCUCAGUUCGGAUCGGAGUCUGCAACCCGACUCCGUGAAGCUGGAUU
This 600-nucleotide ribosomal RNA is filed under the name uncultured bacterium. Its description in RNAcentral is "bacterial SSU rRNA". It matches the Rfam family "Bacterial small subunit ribosomal RNA", at positions 732 to 1332 of the family's 1533-position model. The record is from RNAcentral.